GUAGGCGAAGAGGUCUGGAAAGACCCGCCAGAGCAGGUAAAAGCCCUGUAACCGAAAGCAAACACUCUCCGAGACGGAUCCUGAGUACGGCGGGACACGAGAAACCCCGUCGGAAUCCGGCAGGACCAUCUGCCAAGGCUAAAUACUCCCUAGUGACCGAUAGUGAAGCAGUACCGUGAGGGAAAGGUGAAAAGCACCGCGGAAGCGGAGUGAAAAAGAACCUGAAACCGUGCGCUUACAAGAAGUCAGAGCCCUAUUAAUGGGUGAUGGCGUGCCUUUUGUAGAAUGAACCGGCGAGUUACGAUCACGUGCAAGGUUAAGGCGGGAAGCUGUAGCCGUAGCGAAAGCGAGUCUGAAUAGGGCGAAUGAGUACGUGGUCGUAGACCCGAAACCGUGUGAUCUACCCCUGUCCAGGGUGAAGGUGCGGUAACACGCACUGGAGGCCCGCACCCACGCAUGUUGAAAAAUGCGGGGAUGAGGUGGGGGUAGCGGAGAAAUUCCAAUCGAACUCGGAGAUAGCUGGUUCUCCCCGAAAUAGCUUUAGGGCUAGCCUCGGUUAAGAGUGUCGUGGAGGUAGAGCACUGAUUGGGU
This 591-nucleotide ribosomal RNA is filed under the name Halorubrum sp. Atlit-9R. RNAcentral describes it as "bacterial LSU rRNA". It matches the Rfam family "Bacterial large subunit ribosomal RNA", at positions 329 to 919 of the family's 2925-position model. Lineage: Archaea; Methanobacteriati; Methanobacteriota; Halobacteria; Halobacteriales; Haloferacaceae. The record is from RNAcentral.